GACGAACGCUGGCGGCGUGCCUAAUACAUGCAAGUCGAGCGAUGAUUAAAGAUAGCUUGCUAUUUUUAUGAAGAGCGGCGAACGGGUGAGUAACGCGUGGGAAAUCUGCCGAGUAGCGGGGGACAACGUUUGGAAACGAACGCUAAUACCGCAUAACAAUGAGAAUCGCAUGAUUCUUAUUUGAAAGAAGCAAUUGCUUCACUACUUGAUGAUCCCGCGUUGUAUUAGCUAGUUGGUAGUGUAAAGGACUACCAAGGCGAUGAUACAUAGCCGACCUGAGAGGGUGAUCUGCCACGCUGGGACUGAGACACGGCCCAGACUCCUGCGGGAGGCAGCAGUAGGGAAUCUUCGGCAAUGGGGGCAACCCUGACCGAGCAACGCCGCGUGAGUGAAGAAGGUUUUCGGAUCGUAAAACUCUGUUGUUAGAGAAGAACGUUAAGUAGAGUGGAAAAUUACUUAAGUGACGGUAUCUAACCAGAAAGGGACGGCUAACUACGUGCCAGCAGCCGCCGUAA
This 515-nucleotide ribosomal RNA is filed under the name uncultured bacterium. RNAcentral's name for it is "partial 16S ribosomal RNA". It matches the Rfam family "Bacterial small subunit ribosomal RNA", at positions 28 to 523 of the family's 1533-position model. The record is from RNAcentral.